UCUUGCACUAAGUGAUCUCACAGGAGGGAGGUUGGGGAGACAGACAGAGUAGGGUUUUGUACUCUUUUAGACAUUACAGUAGAUUGAUGUUGUCGUCAGCUUGUGAAUAAUUACUGCACCGCGCAUGCGCAGCCAGUUACGAUGGUCAAGUUACGAGCUGCUGACGACUUGUGAGCGAGGAAUUCGGUCGAGUCUCGUGUAGUCGCGGGAGGCUGCCAAGGAGAAAGAUCAGACAGACGGAGACCAACCGUCUGGGGGAUCUCAGUGCCAGCGGCCGUACGACGUAGAGCUCGCGGAUCCUCGUGAACUUACAAGGGCGGGUAACUUCCGCUAGCGAGCUGCGCAGCGCUUCCCAGCGGUAACCUCAGGCUUCAGAUGGGAUGUAGGGGUUGUGUAAGGGGGCACGUAGGGGAGGUCAGUCUGCAAGUCGCGGAAUUAUCUGCCCCAGAAAAUCAGCGGAUGGUGAUCUCGUCUCUUCAAGACUCCCAUGGACAACUGUGACGUCAUGGGUGUAGCCUCACUUUGAGUGUAAGUGUCUCGAGAUCGAUGAGUAGAGAAGGGGCGUGUCAGCAUUGUUGUGACCUCCACAUGAACUUUCUAUACCAGAGAGCUGGACAUGUCCUCUGUUGAUGUCUCCUGUUGUUUUAAUUACCUCGCUGUAUGCUCAACGCUUUAUGUGACAAAGGUGAUGAGGAGGAACAGACACCAGGACUGACUUUCUUUUUUAAUGACUGGCGAUGGUUCAUUGAGGGGUCACGUUCAGUCCUAUUGGAGAGAACCUCCCCCCAACCCGCCUCUGCAUGGGGGGUUCUUUCGUGUCUUCUCACUAAAGAUUUGCCUUCGCUCAAUGCUGCAAGAUAUUAGCAGAUGGUAAAAGGAAGAGAGAGAGACAGAGACAAAGCCACCGAAACAGAGACAGAGAUGCAGAAACAGAGGGAAAUACACAGAAAGAGAGAGAAAAAAGGAGUGGAAGAGAUAUGGAAGAAAAACAGCGAAAGAGAAAGACCAGUCAUCCAUUAUAUCCAUGGACACAUAAUGAAAGGGAGGGUGGAGGGCAUCCUGAUGGCGAAGGGUUAAGGCUGUACCGGCGAGAAACAAUGCAAAUUCCACAGGAAUGCCUGCACGUGCGACGGCAAGAUACAUCGUAAACAAGCAGAUGAGUUAACCUGGUUUUGAAGCCUCCGAUGGGUUGGCAGUUAACCCACCUGUUAGCAGAGACCUCGGGGCAAUACAGGUGGGAAAAAAACAGUAAAAAUGUUUUCUUUGGCAUAAACAGUGGUAGAAAGGGCUAUUCCAUCAGAUUUAUUUGAUUCCUAAAAAAGGCAGUAAAAAGGAGA
This 1337-nucleotide unclassified non-coding RNA is filed under the name Pomacea canaliculata. Its description in RNAcentral is "uncharacterized LOC112567115, transcript variant X4". The record is from RNAcentral. Lineage: Eukaryota; Metazoa; Mollusca; Gastropoda; Architaenioglossa; Ampullariidae.